Molecule: ribosomal RNA, 862 nt
Filed under: uncultured bacterium
Lineage: Bacteria
Description: bacterial SSU rRNA
Rfam family: Bacterial small subunit ribosomal RNA
Source: RNAcentral
AGAGUUUGAUCCUGGCUCAGGAUGAACGCUAGCGGGAGGCUUAAUACAUGCAAGUCGAGCGGCAAGGUCUUCGGACCCUAGAGCGGCGCACGGGUGAGUAACGCGUACGCAAUCUGCCCUUCAGUGAGGAAUAGCCCUGGGAAACUGGGAUUAAUACCUCAUAACAUUAAAGAGCUGCAUGGCUUUUUAAUUAAAGUUCUGGCGCUGAAGGAUGAGCGUGCGUCUGAUUAGCUAGUUGGUAGGGUAACGGCCUACCAAGGCUACGAUCAGUAGGGGGCGUGAGAGCGUGACCCCCCACACGGGUACUGAGACACGGACCCGACUCCUACGGGAGGCAGCAGUAAGGAAUAUUGGGCAAUGGAGGCAACUCUGACCCAGCCAUCCCGCGUGAAGGAUUAAGGCCCUAUGGGUUGUAAACUUCUUUUGUUUGGGAAGAAAUCUGGACAUUUAUGUGCAGUUGACGGUACCUUACGAAUAAGCACCGGCUAACUCCGUGCCAGCAGCCGCGGUAAUACGGAGGGUGCAAGCGUUAUCCGGAAUCACUGGGUUUAAAGGGUGCGUAGGCGGUUUGAUAAGUCAGAGGUGAAAGCUAGCAGCUUAACUGUUAAAUUGCCUUUGAUACUGUCAGACUUGAAUCAAGUUGAGGUAGGCGGAAUGUGACAUGUAGCGGUGAAAUGCAUAGAUAUGUCAUAGAACACCAAUUGCGUAGGCAGCUUGCUGGGCUUGAAUUGACGCUGAGGCACGAAAGCGUGGGGAUCAAACAGGAUUAGAUACCCUGGUAGUCCACGCCCUAAACGAUGUUAACUCGAUAUUUAUUCUUCGGAGUGAGUGUCCAAGCGAAAGCGUUAAGUUAACCACCUGG